UACCCUAUUAUCCUAAGUGUUAAUUAAGAACCUGAGUAGUAAUAGAUAUGUUCUUGAAACUCAAAGAAUUUGGCGGUGUUUUAGUCCAUUCAGAGGAACCUGUCCUGUAAUUGAUAAUCCACGUUUAACUUAACCUAAAUUAAUUUAGCUUGUAUACCGCCGUCGAAAGAGGAAUUUUAAAAGAUGUCUUCUAAUUCUUUUAUUGGAGUAGAUGUCAGGUCAAGGUGCAGUUGAUGUUUAGGGAGUGAUGGGUUACAAUAAGAAUACUUAAACGGAGAUUUACUGGAAGUAGUAGGGGGAAGGAGGAUUUGAAUGUAAUUGAAUUUAAAUAAUUUCAAUGAAAGAGGCUCUAAAACAAGCACA
RNAcentral lists this ribosomal RNA (363 nucleotides) under Pseudiron centralis. RNAcentral's name for it is "partial 12S ribosomal RNA". The record is from RNAcentral. Lineage: Eukaryota; Metazoa; Arthropoda; Insecta; Ephemeroptera; Pseudironidae.